RNAcentral lists this ribosomal RNA (645 nucleotides) under Ravinia querula. RNAcentral describes it as "eukaryotic LSU rRNA". It matches the Rfam family "Eukaryotic large subunit ribosomal RNA", at positions 688 to 1269 of the family's 3401-position model. Lineage: Eukaryota; Metazoa; Arthropoda; Insecta; Diptera; Sarcophagidae. The record is from RNAcentral.
CAGUUAUUGGGUAUCAAAACCUAAUAGCGAAAUUAACAUAACUUUUAUGGGAUUAGUUUUUAGAUUAUUUAUAGUCUAUUAAUUCAAUCCCGGGGCGUUCUAUAUAGUUAUGUAUAAUAAUAUUUAUAUUAUUUAUACCUCUAACUAGAGCGUACCUUGAGCAUAUAUGCUGUGACCCGAAAGAUGGUGAACUAUACUUGAUCAGGUUGAAGUCAGGGGAAACCCUGAUGGAAGACCGAAACAGUUCUGACGUGCAAAUCGAUUGUCAGAAUUGAGUAUAGGGGCGAAAGACCAAUCGAACCAUCUAGUAGCUGGUUCCCUCCGAAGUUUCCCUCAGGAUAGCUGGUGCAUUUAAAUAUUAUGUAAAAUAAUCUUAUCUGGUAAAGCGAAUGAUUAGAGGCCUUAGGGUCGAAACGACCUUAACCUAUUCUCAAACUUUAAAUGGGUAAGAACCUCACCUUUCUUGGUAUGAAGGUUGUGGUUGUGAUAUAAUGUGCCCAGUGGGCCACUUUUGGUAAGCAGAACUGGCGCUGUGGGAUGAACCAAACGUAAUGUUACGGUGCCCAAAUUAACAACUCAUGCAGAUACCAUGAAAGGCGUUGGUUGCUUAAAACAGCAGGACGGUGGACAUGGAAGUCGUAAUCC